Molecule: ribosomal RNA, 582 nt
Filed under: uncultured Actinomycetes bacterium
Lineage: Bacteria; Bacillati; Actinomycetota; Actinomycetes
Description: bacterial SSU rRNA
Rfam family: Bacterial small subunit ribosomal RNA
Source: RNAcentral
CNGCNGUCGACGAUUCCUACGGGAGGCAGCAGUGGGGAAUCUUGCACAAUGGGCGCAAGCCUGAUGCAGCAACGCCGCGUGAGGGAUGACGGCCUUCGGGUUGUAAACCUCUUUCAGCACCGACGAAACGCAAGUGACGGUAGGUGCAGAAGAAGGACCGGCCAACUACGUGCCAGCAGCCGCGGUAAUACGUAGGGUCCGAGCGUUGUCCGGAAUUACUGGGCGUAAAGAGCUCGUAGGUGGUUUGUCGCGUUGUCCGUGAAAUCCCACAACUCAAUUGUGGGUCUGCGGGCGAUACGGGCAGACUGGAGUACUGCAGGGGAGACUGGAAUUCCUGGUGUAGCGGUGGAAUGCGCAGAUAUCAGGAGGAACACCGGUGGCGAAGGCGGGUCUCUGGAACGGUACUGACGCUGAGACGCGAAAGCGUGGGGAGCAAACAGGAUUAGAUACCCUGGUAGUCCACGCCGUAAACGAUGGGCACUAGUUGUGGGCGGUGCCGACUCCGUCCGUGACGAAGCUAACGCAUUAAGUGCCCCGCCUGGGGAGUACGGCCGCAAGGCUAAAACUCAAAUGAAUUGACGG